UCUCCGUUGGUGAACCAGCGGAGGGAUCAUUACCGAGUUUACAACUCCCAAACCCAAUGUGAACGUUACCAAACUGUUGCCUCGGCGGGGUCACGCCCCGGGUGCGUCGCAGCCCCGGAACCAGGCGCCCGCCGGAGGAACCAACCAAACUCUUUCUGUAGUCCCCUCGCGGACGUUAUUUCUUACAGCUCUGAGCAAAAAUUCAAAAUGAAUCAAAACUUUCAACAACGGAUCUCUUGGUUCUGGCAUCGUUGAAGAACGCAGC
RNAcentral lists this unclassified non-coding RNA (265 nucleotides) under plant metagenome. RNAcentral's name for it is "partial contains small subunit ribosomal RNA, internal transcribed spacer 1, and 5.8S ribosomal RNA". The stretch from base 217 to 265 matches the Rfam family "5.8S ribosomal RNA", at positions 1 to 49 of the family's 154-position model. The record is from RNAcentral.